UACGGAGGGUGCAAGCGUUAUCCGGAUUUACUGGGUUUAAAGGGUGCGCAGGCGGAUAUGUAAGUCAGUGGUGAAAUCUCCGGGCUUAACCCGGAAACUGCCGUUGAUACUAUAUAUCUUGAAUGCUGUGGAGGUAAGCAGAAUAUGUCAUGUAGCGGUGAAAUGCUUAGAGAUGACAUAGAAUACCUAUUGCGAAGGCAGCUUACUACGCAGACAUUGACGCUCAUGCACGAAAGCGUGGGGAUCAAACAGG
RNAcentral lists this ribosomal RNA (253 nucleotides) under uncultured bacterium. RNAcentral describes it as "partial 16S ribosomal RNA". It matches the Rfam family "Bacterial small subunit ribosomal RNA", at positions 524 to 776 of the family's 1533-position model. The record is from RNAcentral.